GAGGCAGCAGUAGGGAAUCUUCCGCAAUGGACGAAAGUCUGACGGAGCAACGCCGCGUGAGUGAUGAAGGUUUUCGGAUCGUAAAGCUCUGUUGUUAGGGAAGAACAAGUACCGUUCGAAUAGGGCGGUACCUUGACGGUACCUAACCAGAAAGCCACGGCUAACUACGUGCCAGCAGCCGCGGUAAUACGUAGGUGGCAAGCGUUGUCCGGAAUUAUUGGGCGUAAAGGGCUCGCAGGCGGUUUCUUAAGUCUGAUGUGAAAGCCCCCGGCUCAACCGGGGAGGGUCAUUGGAAACUGGGGAACUUGAGUGCAGAAGAGGAGAGUGGAAUUCCACGUGUAGCGGUGAAAUGCGUAGAGAUGUGGAGGAACACCAGUGGCGAAGGCGACUCUCUGGUCUGUAACUGACGCUGAGGAGCGAAAGCGUGGGGAGCGAACAGGAUUAGAUACCCUGGUAGUCCACGCCGUAAACGAUGAGUGCUAAGUGUUAGGGGGUUUCCGCCC
Molecule: ribosomal RNA, 503 nt
Filed under: Bacillus subtilis
Lineage: Bacteria; Bacillati; Bacillota; Bacilli; Caryophanales; Bacillaceae
Description: bacterial SSU rRNA
Rfam family: Bacterial small subunit ribosomal RNA
Source: RNAcentral